GACGAACGCUGGCGGCAUGCCUAAUACGUGCAAGUCGAGCGAACAGAUGAAGUGCUUGCACUUCUGACGUUAGCGGCGAACGGGUGAGUAACACGUAAGGAAUCUACCUAUAAGCGGAGGAUAACAUUCGGAAACGGGUGCUAAUACCGCAUAAUAUCUUCUUCCGCAUGGAAGAAGAUUGAAAGACGGCUCUGCUGUCACUUAUAGAUGACCUUGCGGUGCAUUAGUUAGUUGGUGGGGUAAUGGCCUACCAAGACGAUGAUGCAUAGCCGACCUGAGAGGGUGAUCGGCCACAUUGGGACUGAGACACGGCCCAAACUCCUACGGGAGGCAGCAGUAGGGAAUCUUCCGCAAUGGGCGAAAGCCUGACGGAGCAAUGCCGCGUGAGUGAAGAAGGCCUUCGGGUCGUAAAACUCUGUUAUAAGAGAAGAACAAAUUGUAGAGUAACUGCUACAGUCUUGACGGUAUCUUAUCAGAAAGCCACGGCUAACUACGUGCCAGCAGCCGCGGUAA
This 513-nucleotide ribosomal RNA is filed under the name uncultured bacterium. RNAcentral describes it as "partial 16S ribosomal RNA". It matches the Rfam family "Bacterial small subunit ribosomal RNA", at positions 28 to 523 of the family's 1533-position model. The record is from RNAcentral.